GACGAACGCUGGCGGCGCGCCUAACACAUGCAAGUCGAGCGAUGAAAUUUUAACCGCUCUCUUCGGAGAGUAGCUAAAAUGGAUUAGCGGCGGACGGGUGAGUAACACGUGAGAAACCUGCCUUUCACAAGGGGAUAGCCUCGGGAAACCGGGAUUAAUAACCUAUGACACAUUUCCUUCGCAUGGCAGAAAUGUUAAAACUCCGGUGGUGAAAGAUGGUCUCGCGCCUGAUUAGCUAGUUGGUGGGGUAACGGCCCACCAAGGCCAUGAUCAGUAACCGGCCUGCGAGGGUGAACGGUCACAUUGGAACUGAGACACCGUACAAACUCCUACGGGAGGCAGCAGUGGGGAAUAUUGCAACAUCGAGGAAACUCUGAUGGAGCGACGAUGCGUGAGCGAUGAAGGCUGUCGAGUCGUAAAGCUUUGGUCUAUGGGAAGAUAUUGACGGUACCAUAGGAGAAAGCCCCGGCUAACUACGUG
RNAcentral lists this ribosomal RNA (480 nucleotides) under uncultured bacterium. RNAcentral describes it as "partial 16S ribosomal RNA". It matches the Rfam family "Bacterial small subunit ribosomal RNA", at positions 28 to 507 of the family's 1533-position model. The record is from RNAcentral.